RNAcentral lists this microRNA precursor (78 nucleotides) under Schistosoma haematobium. RNAcentral's name for it is "mir-3492 microRNA precursor family". It matches the Rfam family "mir-3492 microRNA precursor family". The record is from Rfam by way of RNAcentral. Lineage: Eukaryota; Metazoa; Platyhelminthes; Trematoda; Strigeidida; Schistosomatidae.
AGUUUUUUGAGUCUGUGAAGAGGUUUCGUAAAACACCAACCCAUUAGGGCUGAUCAGACUUUCAAGAUAAGUGAAGUU